This is a non-coding RNA of 264 nucleotides. It matches the Rfam family "Bacterial large signal recognition particle RNA". Rfam says of the family: The signal recognition particle (SRP) is a universally conserved ribonucleoprotein involved in the co-translational targeting of proteins to membranes. The record is from Rfam.
UUGUGCUAGAUGGGGAGUUAGCGGUGCCCUGUAACCUGCAAUCCGCUACAGCAGGAUUGAAUUCCCUACCGAGGUCUUAAUUUGUGGUGUCGACCUAUGCAAGUGAUGUUGAGAGUUAGGCCCCACGCGAUGGAACCCUGUGAACCUCGUCAGGUCCGGAAGGAAGCAGCGAUAAGCAGUCACUUUCAUGUGCCGUGGAUAAGUCUAAUUUGAGUUAACUACAUAGGUAACGGCCAUAGAUUAUUGCCAGAGUAGGGUGCACAA